GAUGGCAGCAAGCAUGUAAUGACCGGCACUGACCGGACUGAACUUGCGCCCGGCGACGUGUUCGUCAUCGAGACGCCGGGCGGCGGUGGUUAUGGCUCGCUGGCGCGGUGAUUACCGGCUGACGGCGGCCCCGCCCCGAGGACAAAUGCAAGAGCUGAGAAGAGCCCCGGAAUGGCCGUUCUUGAUCUGUGGUCACAAUGAAAGCUCAGAGCCAGUCGAUGUGACCGAUUAUUCACGGUCCGGUGAGACCGGGCGGCGCCUCGACAGGUUGUAAAGGCAAGAACGACGCC
Molecule: unclassified non-coding RNA, 290 nt
Filed under: uncultured fungus
Lineage: Eukaryota; Fungi
Description: sequence contains ITS1
Source: RNAcentral